RNAcentral lists this transfer RNA (73 nucleotides) under Stegodyphus mimosarum. It matches the Rfam family "tRNA". From Rfam's summary of the family: Transfer RNA (tRNA) molecules are approximately 80 nucleotides in length. Their secondary structure includes four short double-helical elements and three loops (D, anti-codon, and T loops). The record is from Rfam by way of RNAcentral. Lineage: Eukaryota; Metazoa; Arthropoda; Arachnida; Araneae; Eresidae.
GUCUUCGUGGUGUAGUGGUCAGCACGCUCGACGCGUAUUCGAGAGGUCCGUGGUUCGAGUCCCGGCAAGGGCA